This 511-nucleotide ribosomal RNA is filed under the name uncultured bacterium. RNAcentral describes it as "bacterial SSU rRNA". It matches the Rfam family "Bacterial small subunit ribosomal RNA", at positions 32 to 519 of the family's 1533-position model. The record is from RNAcentral.
AAUCAACGCUGGCGGCGUGCCUAACACAUGCAAGUCGAACGCGAAAGUCCCGCAAGGGAUGAGUAGAGUGGCAAACGGGUGAGUAACACGUGGGUGACCUGCCUUCGAGUGGGGGAUAACGUCCCGAAAGGGACGCUAAUACCGCAUGACAUCCUGCUUUUUAAGAGGCGGAGAUCAAAGCUGGGGAUCGCAAGACCUAGCGCUUGAAGAGGGGCCCGCGCCCGAUUAGCAGUUGGUGGGGUAACGGCCUACCAAGGCAACGAUCGGUAGCCGGCCUGAGAGGGCGGACGGCCACACUGGGACUGAGACACGGCCCAGACUCCUACGGGAGGCAGCAGUGGGGAAUUGUUCGCAAUGGGCGCAAGCCUGACGAAGCAACGCCGCGUAGAGGAUGAAGGCCCUCGCGGUCGUAAACUCUUGUCUAGUGGGACGAAACUCCUGUAGGUAAAUACUUAUGGGAUUGACUGUACCGCUGGAGGAAGCUCCGGCCAACUCCGUGCCAGCCGCCGCA